Molecule: ribosomal RNA, 274 nt
Filed under: uncultured bacterium
Lineage: Bacteria
Description: partial 16S ribosomal RNA
Rfam family: Bacterial small subunit ribosomal RNA
Source: RNAcentral
AUACGGAGGGUGCGAGCGUUAAUCGGAAUUACUGGGCGUAAAGCGCGCGUAGGCGGCUAAGUAAGUCGGAUGUGAAAGCCCUGGGCUCAACCUGGGAAUUGCACUCGAUACUGCUUGGCUAGAGUAUGGUAGAGGGUAGUGGAAUUCCUGGUGUAGCGGUGAAAUGCGUAGAUAUCAGGAGGAACAUCAGUGGCGAAGGCGGCUACCUGGACCAAUACUGACGCUAAGGUGCGAAAGCGUGGGGAGCAAACAGGAUUAGAAACCCGUGUAGUCC